UACGAAGGGGGCUAGCGUUGUUCGGAAUCACUGGGCGUAAAGGGCGCGUAGGCGGCUUUGUAAGUCGGGGGUGAAAGCCUGUGGCUCAACCGCAGAAUUGCCUUCGAUACUGCAUGGCUUGAGACCGGAAGAGGUAAGUGGAACUGCGAGUGUAGAGGUGAAAUUCGUAGAUAUUCGCAAGAACACCAGUGGCGAAGGCGGCUCACUGGCCCGAUACUGACGCUGAGGUGCGAAAGCGUGGGGAGCAAACAGG
RNAcentral lists this ribosomal RNA (253 nucleotides) under uncultured bacterium. RNAcentral's name for it is "partial 16S ribosomal RNA". It matches the Rfam family "Bacterial small subunit ribosomal RNA", at positions 524 to 776 of the family's 1533-position model. The record is from RNAcentral.